GUUUGAUCCUGGCUUAGGAUGAACGCUAGCUACAGGCUUAACACAUGCAAGUCGAGGGGCAGCAUUGGAGUAGCAAUACUUCAGAUGGCGACCGGCGCACGGGUGAGUAACACGUAUCCAACCUGCCGCUUACUCGGGGAUAGCCUUUCGAAAGAAAGAUUAAUACCCGAUGGUAUAAAGAGUUCGCAUGUUCUCUUUAUUAAAGAAUUUCGGUAAGCGAUGGGGAUGCGUUCCAUUAGAUAGUGGCGGGGUAACGGCCCACCAAGUCUACGAUGGAUAGGGGUUCUGAGAGGAAGGUCCCCCCACAUUGGAACUGAGACACGGUCCAAACUCCUACGGGAGGCAGCAGUGAGGAAUAUUGGUCAAUGGACGAGAGUCUGAACCAGCCAAGUAGCGUGAAGGAUGACUGCCCUAUGGGUUGUAAACUUCUUUUAUAAGGGAAUAAAGUGAGGGACGUGUCCCUUUUUGUAUGUACCUUAUGAAUAAGGAUCGGCUAACUCCGUGCCAGCAGCAGC
RNAcentral lists this ribosomal RNA (515 nucleotides) under uncultured bacterium. RNAcentral's name for it is "bacterial SSU rRNA". It matches the Rfam family "Bacterial small subunit ribosomal RNA", at positions 11 to 518 of the family's 1533-position model. The record is from RNAcentral.